UUGAGAGUCUUAUUCCUCACUGAGAAGCUA
This 30-nucleotide non-coding RNA is filed under the name Homo sapiens (human). The record is from RNAcentral. Lineage: Eukaryota; Metazoa; Chordata; Mammalia; Primates; Hominidae.